Molecule: ribosomal RNA, 440 nt
Filed under: uncultured bacterium
Lineage: Bacteria
Description: partial 16S ribosomal RNA
Rfam family: Bacterial small subunit ribosomal RNA
Source: RNAcentral
CCUACGGGAUGCAGCAGUAGGGAAUAUUGCUCAAUGGGGGAAACCCUGAAGCAGCAACGCCGCGUGGAGGAUGAAGGUUUUCGGAUUGUCAACUCAUUUUGUUAGAGAAGAUAAUGACGGUAUCUAAGGAAUAAGCACCGGCUAACUCCGGGCCAGCAGCCGCGGGAAUACGGGGGGUGCCAGCGUUACUCGGAAUCACUGGGCGUAAAGAGGGCGGAGGCGGGGGAGAAAGUCAGAUGUGUAAUCCUAUGGCUUAACCAUAGAACUGCAUUUGAAACUGUUAUUCUAGAGUAUGGGAGAGGUAGGUGGAAUUCUUGGUGGAGGGGUAAAAUCCGUAGAGAUCAAGAGGAAUACUCGUUGCGAAGGCGACCUGAUAGAACAUAACUGACGCUGAGGCGCGAAAGCGUGGGGAGCAAACAGGAUUAGAUACCCUUGUAGUC